ACGGGUGAGUAACGCGUGGGAACGUGCCUUCUGGUUCGGAAUAACUCAGGGAAACUUGAGCUAAUACCGGAUACGCCCUUUUUGGGGAAAGGUUUACUGCCGGAAGAUCGGCCCGCGUCUGAUUAGCUAGUUGGUGGGGUAACGGCCUACUAAGGCGACGAUCAGUAGCUGGUCUGAGAGGAUGAUCAGCCACACUGGGACUGAGACACGGCCCAGACUCCUACGGGAGGCAGCAGUGGGGAAUAUUGGACAAUGGGCGCAAGCCUGAUCCAGCUAUGCCGCGUGAGUGAUGAAGGCCUUAGGGUUGUAAAGCUCUUUUAUCCGGGACGAUAAUGACGGUACCGGAGGAAUAAGCCCCGGCUAACUUCGUGCCAGCAGCCGCGGUAAUACGAAGGGGGCUAGCGUUGCUCGGAAUCACUGGGCGUAAAGGGCGCGUAGGCGGUCUUUUAAGUCGGGGGUGAAAGCCUGUGGCUCAACCACAGAAUUGCCUUCGAUACUGGGAGACUUGAGUUCGGAAGAGGUUGGUGGAACUGCGAGUGUAGAGGUGAAAUUCGUAGA
Molecule: ribosomal RNA, 558 nt
Filed under: uncultured bacterium
Lineage: Bacteria
Description: bacterial SSU rRNA
Rfam family: Bacterial small subunit ribosomal RNA
Source: RNAcentral